UGAAAGCUCCUGGUGGUAAAGUCGGUCCAAGGUCACGCUGGGGAUGGCUCUGAACACCAGGGCUGCCUGGAACGCGCCUGUCCCUCGCCUGGCUGGCCCCGCCACCACUUCCCUUACUCCUCAAGAGGCGGCCAGAGAAAGGGUGGCGAUAAGGACAGGAGUGGGGACAAGAAAGACAGAAGCGAAGAGGGAGAGGCCGGGCUUUGCGGAAACGCAAUAAGUGAAAAUCACGAUUCGCUCGGAGGCACCUCGGAGGGACUCCCUGGUCGCAUCUCAAAGACUCUGCUUCCAAAAAUGGGCCCUCGGGAGUUUGCUCUGUCCAGCGGGGUCCGCGGCCGGGGGGACGCUCCCAAGGCCUCCAGAUCGGGGGGCGACUUCCCGCGGCGCUGGGGCACCUGAGCCUCACCCUGAGGUGUGUGCACUGAAAAUGGCCCUGGGCACGCGGGAGCCCUGGGUAAGUGUCCUGCGGUGGUGAAGGCGCACGGAGCUGAGGCGCGCGGAG
This is a non-coding RNA of Ictidomys tridecemlineatus (thirteen-lined ground squirrel), 502 nucleotides long. NCBI's taxonomy places the organism in Eukaryota, Metazoa, Chordata, Mammalia, Rodentia, Sciuridae. The record is from RefSeq and is a predicted model, not a curated record.